UGUUCAUGUUCCCAGCUAAAAGUCCCUCCUUUUUGUCUCCUCCUCGGCUCUUCGCCUUCGCCGGUCGACGCCGCCCGCCUCGCCUUCUCCGGCCAGCCCAGCCACCGCAGGCGCGUGCUCCUCGACGCCUUCUCCGCCCGCCGUCCGGCCACCCAGGGACUUCUUCUCCGGUUGCGCUGCGAAGAAGAAAUAUGGAUAAGCUCGACGGUCCUGCCCGUCUUAUGGUCGUUUCUGAUCUUGACCAGACUAUGAUUGAUCACAAUGAUCCAGAGAACUUGUCCUUGCUCAGAUUCCAGGCGCUCUGGGAGUCCGAGUUCUCCCAAGAUUCUUUACUAGUAUUCUCAACUGGAAGAUCACCCAUGAGUUACAGGGGUUUGAGGACACAGAAGCCUUUGCUUACUCCGGACAUCACUAUCAUGUCUGUUGGCACAGUGAUAACAUACGGUGAAGAGAUGAUUCAUGAUGUCGGCUGGGAGGAGUUCCUUAGCAACAAAUGGGAUAGGGACAUUGUUGUCGAAGAGACAGCUAAGUUCCCUCAGCUUAAGCCUCAGCCAGAGAGGAAUCAGGGUCCUCAUAAGGUUAGCUUUUUUGUCAACAAGCAGGGAGCUCAGGAAGCUAUGGAUUCUCUUCCCAAGACAUUGAAGCAGCGUGGGCUAGAUGUUAAAAUAAUCUUCAGUAGUGGUGAGGCCCUUGAUGUAUUACCGCAAGGUGCAGGAAAAGGCCAGGCUCUUUUAUAUUUGCUGAAAAAGUUUGAUGCACAUGGGAAACUACCAAACAACACUCUUGUUUGUGGUGACUCCGGCAAUGAUGCAGAAUUAUUCAGUGUCCCAUCUGUUCAUGGUGUCAUGGUCAGCAAUGCCCAAGAGGAGCUGCUUCAGUGGUAUGAAGAAAAUGCCAAGAUCAAUCCUAUGAUAAUUCAUUCAACUGAGAGGUGUGCUGUUGGUAUCAUGCAAGCUAUUGGACACUUCAAAUUAGGACCUAAUAUUUCUCCAAGAGAUCUUGAAUUCCCUUACCCGAAGUUGGACACCAUCAAACCUGCAGGUGCAGUAGUGAAGUUUUAUGCUCUCUAUGAAAAAUGGAGGAGGGGUGAAGUUCAAAAUUCCCCAUCCAUUAUGCAGUACUUGAAAAGGACUACUCAUCCCAAUGGAACAAUUAUUCAUCCUUCUGGAACGGAGAGUUUACUUCAUGCAUCCAUUGAUGCGCUGAGUUCAUGCUACGCUGAUAAAAAAGACAAGAAGUUCCGAACAUGGGUGGAUAGAGUUGUCACUUCAUCGAUUGGUACAGAUAACUGGAUGGUGAGAUUUGACAAGUGGGAAAUGGAAGGCGAUGUUCGGUAUUGCUGCCUCACAACUCUUCUGCUGACAAUGAAGGUUAUCUGCCUAAACUCACAGCCUGAGACUCAAGAGGGCUUUGAGAUGACACACAUCCACAAGACAUGGCUUGAAGGAUACUCUGCAGGAAAUGAGCAUGCAUGCAUCCUCUAGACCAUUUAACCACAUGCGACUUACACAAAAGACAUGGUGGAUUCAUCAGCAGCCAAGAUAGAAUAACAAGUUUACUCACCCUGGGAUGUUCUGUGGAUUGAAUCUGCGCCGGUUGGCUCUCACCACCAGGAGCCAACCAAGUUAUCGUUCAGUUGAGAACCGAGCGGUGCUCGGGUGGUUAGUCAUGUGAGUUCGAUCCCUGAGAUCACAACUCGCGCGUCUCAUCCAUGGAUUUUCCCUGACACGCGUACGCAUCCCAAAAUCCUAAGCGUGUGGUAGGGGACGCGCACGCAUCUGUUAUGGUGUGUGUUCGUGUGCGUCCUAAGUUAUAUCCUUAAAAAAAGUUAUCGUCUAGUCCUCAAUCGUAUAGUACUCCAUGUAUAUAAA
RNA transcript from Oryza brachyantha (malo sina), 1871 nucleotides. It is a transcript of the gene named probable sucrose-phosphatase 3, with no coding region annotated. Lineage: Eukaryota; Viridiplantae; Streptophyta; Magnoliopsida; Poales; Poaceae. The transcript is spliced from 10 exons. The record is from RefSeq and is a predicted model, not a curated record.